AGGACGAACGCUGGCGGCGUGCUUAACACAUGCAAGUCGAGCGGAAAGGCCCUUCGGGGUACUCGAGCGGCGAACGGGUGAGUAACACGUGAGUAAUCUGCCCCUAGCUCUGGGAUAGCUCCGGGAAACCGGGAUUAAUACCGGAUAUGACCACUUUAGACAUCUUUUGUGGUGGAAAGAAUUUCGGCUAGGGAUGAGCUCGCGGCCUAUCAGCUUGUUGGUGGGGUAACGGCCUACCAAGGCGACGACGGGUA
RNAcentral lists this ribosomal RNA (254 nucleotides) under uncultured bacterium. RNAcentral describes it as "partial small subunit ribosomal RNA". It matches the Rfam family "Bacterial small subunit ribosomal RNA", at positions 26 to 285 of the family's 1533-position model. The record is from RNAcentral.